UACGUAGGUGGCAAGCGUUAUCCGGAUUUACUGGGUGUAAAGGGCGUGUAGGCGGGGUCGCAAGUCAGAUGUGAAAUUCCAUGGCUUAACCAUGGACCUGCAUUUGAAACUGUGAUUCUUGAGUGAUGGAGAGGCAGGCGGAAUUCCGUGUGUAGCGGUGAAAUGCGUAGAUAUACGGAGGAACACCAGUGGCGAAGGCGGCCUGCUGGACAUUAACUGACGCUGAGGCGCGAAAGCGUGGGGAGCAAACAGG
RNAcentral lists this ribosomal RNA (253 nucleotides) under uncultured bacterium. RNAcentral describes it as "partial 16S ribosomal RNA". It matches the Rfam family "Bacterial small subunit ribosomal RNA", at positions 524 to 776 of the family's 1533-position model. The record is from RNAcentral.